UACGUAGGGUGCAAGCGUUAAUCGGAAUUACUGGGCGUAAAGCGUGCGCAGGCGGCUUUGCAAGACAGAUGUGAAAUCCCCGGGCUUAACCUGGGAACUGCAUUUGUGACUGCAUGGCUAGAGUGCGGCAGAGGGGGAUGGAAUUCCGCGUGUAGCAGUGAAAUGCGUAGAUAUCGAGAGGAACACCAGUGGCGAAGGCGAGUCUCUGGACAUUUCCUGACGCUGAGGCACGAAAGCCAGGGGAGCAAACGGG
This 253-nucleotide ribosomal RNA is filed under the name uncultured bacterium. RNAcentral describes it as "partial 16S ribosomal RNA". It matches the Rfam family "Bacterial small subunit ribosomal RNA", at positions 524 to 776 of the family's 1533-position model. The record is from RNAcentral.